This is a long non-coding RNA of Aphis gossypii (cotton aphid), 1368 nucleotides long. RefSeq lists it as uncharacterized. NCBI's taxonomy places the organism in Eukaryota, Metazoa, Arthropoda, Insecta, Hemiptera, Aphididae. The record is from RefSeq and is a predicted model, not a curated record. The transcript is spliced from 4 exons.
UGUCCGAACCGACGUAUCGUGACUUUGUUUACUAUUGUAGUGGGCGUGUUGCCGGCCAUAUCGCUUUAUGGCGGCUACAGAUUGGUGAUUGGCGAUUCUUGAAAGAAAAUCGAUUUAAAAUUUAAAUCUGAAUGAAAGAAAUCGAAUCAAUGAUAAAAUCACCAAGGUAGAAUCGUUUCCAAAAAUCGAUUUAAAUCGCCUAUCACUUGGAGUUACGACUACAACGGUGUCCUGACAGUCCUGUACUAGUGUACUGUACCAUAGAAUACAGAUUACUGUUUUGACUGUUUUGAGUGUACUGCACUACUGCUGUAGUUGUAUACUUGUAUAUUAUAUUAUAUAGCAUUCGCCAUUUGCUUCUACUUUCUAGUUAGUAGUUACUACGGUAGUACGGACAUUACAGUAGAGCCACGGACACAACUCACAACUCACAAGCCACAUAUUUUUACAGUUUUAGUACGUUUUUUUUAUUAACUGCGUAGUUCUGUAUCAUUCGAACCGUAAGUCCGUGACAUGCUAACCUCGUAUACUACGUAAAUCUCUAGUGUCCAGCGAUUUCUGAUCAUGCCGUAUCUUUCGCACUAUGACGCCUUAAAAUUUCAGUCGUCAGUUGUUAUGAUUCAAUUGGAUAAAAUUGCCCUCUAUGAUGAAGCCUGAUCAUAGUACAGUGUUAUUGGAAGUUCAUAUUGUCUUCUCCGUUGUUGUAUAUUCCUCCUGCACGCUUGUUGUCAUAGUCUAUAUAAUGCCAGACUAAACAAGAGUCACAUAAAAUUGGAUUUUGAUCAGCUCCUAUGUCAUUAUUACAUAAUGGGCAUACCCAGGUAAUAUUCUUUUUUUUUUGUUUAAUUACAACAUUAAUUUUUUUCCAAGCGUCAUUGGAACAGUAAGACUUAACACUGUUUAUAUCAAUCUCACUUUCUAUAAUCCCAUUAAACACAUCUGAAUAGUAUUUAACAUCUUCUUUUUGGAUUGUAUACUUAUCUUUCCUCACCUUGUUGACAACUGCCUUAUUUGGGAGCCAUUCUUUAAUCAUAUUUUCUUUUAGUAAAUUUUGUGAAUUAUAAGGAAUUGGUUUCAUCUGUUUUCUGCGUAUUAAAAGACCUAUAGUUUGUGUUGCACUCUUAAGUCUACCACAGCACUUAAUUUUUAUUGGUAAUUUUAUAUCAGCAACUUGAAACUCGUUUGAGCUGUUUUGGUUAGGUCCAGAACUUGUUGAUGGCUGGUAAACAUUUUCUAAAUCGUUCACACAUAUUUGAUUAAUAUAAUUAUUUAUUAGUUAUAACUUAAUAAUUCACUUAUAUUUUAUUAUGUUGUGUACCUGAUUCAUCAUUCGGAACAGAACUUAACAUCACGUCUUCGAUUAUAUUG